This 279-nucleotide ribosomal RNA is filed under the name uncultured bacterium. RNAcentral's name for it is "partial 16S ribosomal RNA". It matches the Rfam family "Bacterial small subunit ribosomal RNA", at positions 506 to 784 of the family's 1533-position model. The record is from RNAcentral.
UGCCAGCAGCCGCGGUAAUACGAGGGGUGCAAGCGUUAAUCGGAAUUACUGGGCGUAAAGCGCGCGUAGGCGGAUUGGAAAGUUAGGGGUGAAAUCCCAGGGCUCAACCCUGGAACUGCCUCUAAAACUCCCAGUCUUGAGUUCGAGAGAGGUGAGUGGAAUUCCGAGUGUAGAGGUGAAAUUCGUAGAUAUUCGGAGGAACACCAGUGGCGAAGGCGACUGACUGGACUGGUACUGACGCUGAGGCGCGAAAGCGUGGGGAGCAAACAGGAUUAGAUA